UCCUGACCCCACCCGUCCUGUGUGGUGCCCGCUUUGCUCGCAACACUACUGCUGGAUGCACGGUAGAUGGAGCUCUCUCUGUGUAUACCUGAUUCCACACACGUACAAACAAACAGUUGACUGUCUAUGGUUACAAAGUGGAGUUGGUGUGACAGCGACAUCUGUCAUCCGUCAAGCUCUGUUCACCACAAGAUGGCGAUAAGACCUCACAUCAAAUCCAAAAACUCCCCUCAGCUCUGACCACGAAUGGUUCGCAUGUAACAGGAUAAUAAUUCCUCCUCUAAGUGAAAGGGACACCGGAUAUCCGGACCAUGGGUUGUAACGGGAAGCCAGACCGCCUGAGCUACGGUAAAUGGAUCCGAACAUGAUCCAUGUCUUGAAGUGCACCAAGAUUUCAACAUGUUUUGUUCACUUCUGCUAUUUUGUUGUAGAUGACAGUGAAAAGUGACGUGCAGAAAUGACUUGCAAGUGUCGCUGCCCAUAUCUUGUGUAACACCAGGCCAUCCUUGCAAAAUGACAAGAGUUCAUUUCAAUACACUCCGUGUGUGAAAGUUUAAUUGAUGCGUUACGCAGAGGGAUCAAAUAUUUCCUUACUUGAUACAGAGCAAUGUAAUGAUGUAUAAUUAACAAAUCAAUUUAUACAUUAAUAUGUAAAUUAAGAACUUUACUUUCCACUUGUUUUUUUUUAACACAAUUUUAGGAACCUGACGGGAAAAAAGCUGAAUGUUUAAGUGCUGUUUGGGACAAAAUUGUGAUUGAGAUG
Long non-coding RNA from Dicentrarchus labrax (European seabass), 763 nucleotides. RefSeq lists it as uncharacterized. NCBI's taxonomy places the organism in Eukaryota, Metazoa, Chordata, Actinopteri, Moronidae. The transcript has 3 exons. The record is from RefSeq and is a predicted model, not a curated record.